UCAGAUCAGUACUGUGUUGAUCUUCCUAAUACGGAUGAUAAUCAUCAGCUAAAAGUUCCAAAAUAUGAUGCAUUCACAACAAAUUUUGGGGUCAUCAGCCAGAUUUGUUGUUUCGAGGCAGAUGAAGGAUCAACAGAUUCUGAUCCCGAAGAAAUUCAAGGCAAGAACUCCAACAUUGAUGAUAUUUUAAGGACCGCAUGGAAGAAAGCUGAAGGUGAUAUUUGAAUAUAAGGCCAAUUAUCUAUAAAGUCUAUUUCUUUGAAGUUCAGAUAGACAUUUUUCUUUCAGAGAAUAAGAAUGAGUUCAAAACAAUAGCACAUUUUAAUUCUGAUGUCUGCAUUUAAUGGACCAUUGGAGAUUUGUGUUAUCUGUUUAUUUUGUAUUAUCAUGAAUUCUUUGAUACACAUUGCUCUGUAAGAUAUAUAAAUGGUUGAUUUUUGUUUAAUAAUUUUCACUUUUAUUAUUCAAAUUCCAUGAUUACUGACUGGCUUUUAUUUCUUUUGUAAAGAUAUAUGUGUUUAUAUCAAAAUAAG
Molecule: non-coding RNA, 533 nt
Organism: Penaeus vannamei (Pacific white shrimp)
Lineage: Eukaryota; Metazoa; Arthropoda; Malacostraca; Decapoda; Penaeidae
Source: RefSeq, a predicted model, not a curated record